This 747-nucleotide ribosomal RNA is filed under the name Triticum aestivum (bread wheat). RNAcentral's name for it is "partial small subunit ribosomal RNA". Lineage: Eukaryota; Viridiplantae; Streptophyta; Magnoliopsida; Poales; Poaceae. The record is from RNAcentral.
AUGGCCAUGAGUAUGGCAACCGGCGCCAUGGGCUCCCUGCUGCCCAAGCUGAUCGAGCUCCUCAAGGACGAGUACAAGCUGAAGGAGAGCGUCAAGGAAGGCGUCAGAUCUCUUGAGCAAGAGAUGAAGAGCAUGCAAGCUGCGCUCUGCAAGGUGGGCGAGGUGCCACGGGACCAGCUCGGCGAGCAGGUCAAGGUCUGGGCAGGGGAGGUGAGAGAGCUCUCCUUCCACAUGGAGGAUGUCGUCGACAAGCAUUUGGUGCAUGUCGAUGAUGGCUCCAAGCCAGCAACCAACUCGAACAAGCUCAAGCGGCUCACAAAGCAGAUGGCUGGAUUGUUCACCAAGGGGAAGGCACGCCAUGAGAUCGCUGAUGCAAUCAAGGGCAUCAGUAAGCAAGUCCAAGAGGUUGCUAACCGGCAUGCUAGGUACAAUGUCGACAGUAUCGUCCCUAGGCCUGCAGCGGUGACACUCAAUCCUCUCCUUCAGGCGCUUUACACGGAGGUGACAGAGCUCACUGGCAUUAAUGGGAAAAGAGACGAAGUGCUAAUAAAGUUGCUCUCAAAUGAAGACAAUUUAUCCAACAAAAAGUUGAAGAUUGUCUCUGUUGUUGGAUUUGGAGGAUUGGGCAAGACCACUCUUGUCAAAACGGUUUAUGACAAGAUCAAAGGAGAUUUCAAUUGCAGUGCUUUUGUUUCUGUCGGUCGAAACGCUGCUCCGAAGAAGGUUUUUGAUGGACAUUUUUCUUGA